AUCUUGAUUGUUAGCAUCACACCC
Molecule: non-coding RNA, 24 nt
Filed under: Arabidopsis thaliana (thale cress)
Lineage: Eukaryota; Viridiplantae; Streptophyta; Magnoliopsida; Brassicales; Brassicaceae
Source: RNAcentral